GUUUGAAUGCUGGCUAUGCAAGUUUGGAUAGAGCACUCGGAAUUAGCUUACGUUAAACAUGACAAUGAACACUGCUAUAUUUCACCGAACCUAGUCUACACAAAUUAAAGUAAAACAUUAACACGACAAUGGCCCCCACACAACCCUG
This is a long non-coding RNA of Oxyura jamaicensis (ruddy duck), 148 nucleotides long. RefSeq lists it as uncharacterized. Lineage: Eukaryota; Metazoa; Chordata; Aves; Anseriformes; Anatidae. The transcript has 3 exons. The record is from RefSeq and is a predicted model, not a curated record.